UACUUCAAACACUAGCCAUGACAACACACUCAAGGUUACGUUAAAAUCUGCUUAGGUAUAUUAGGUUACACUAAAUCUCUUCUUUUCUUUCUUUCUUCCUUUUCUUCCUCUCUAUCCUGACAAGCAAUUAACACACACAUACUUCAAACACUAGCCAUGACAACACACUCAAGGUUACGUUAAAAUCUGCUUAGGUAUAUUGGGUUACACUAAAUCUCUUCUUUUCUUUCUUUCUUUUUUUUU
Molecule: long non-coding RNA, 243 nt
Organism: Portunus trituberculatus (swimming crab)
Lineage: Eukaryota; Metazoa; Arthropoda; Malacostraca; Decapoda; Portunidae
Exons: 3
Source: RefSeq, a predicted model, not a curated record